GAUGAACGCUAGCGGCAGGCUUAACACAUGCAAGUCGAGGGGCAGCACGGGUAGCAAUACCUGGUGGCGACCGGCGCACGGGUGAGUAACACGUAUGCAACCUGCCUGUAAGAGGGGAAUAACCCGGAGAAAUUCGGACUAAUACCGCAUAAUACCACGAGACUGCAUGGUUUUGUGGUUAAACAUUUAUGGCUUACAGAUGGGCAUGCGUAUGAUUAGAUAGUUGGUAGGGUAACGGCCUACCAAGUCUACGAUCAUUAGGGGUUCUGAGAGGAAGGUCCCCCACACUGGUACUGAGACACGGACCAGACUCCUACGGGAGGCAGCAGUGAGGAGUAUUGGUCAAUGGGCGAGAGCCUGAACCAGCCAAGUCGCGUGAAGGAAGAAGGUUCUAUGGAUUGUAAACUUCUUUUGCAGGGGAAUAAAGGACGGUACGUGUACUGUUUUGUAUGUACCUUGCGAAUAAGGAUCGGCUAACUCCGUGCCAGCAGCCGCGGUAAAACGUCUA
RNAcentral lists this ribosomal RNA (508 nucleotides) under uncultured bacterium. RNAcentral describes it as "bacterial SSU rRNA". It matches the Rfam family "Bacterial small subunit ribosomal RNA", at positions 28 to 531 of the family's 1533-position model. The record is from RNAcentral.